AAGUACACCUCUCUCUCUCAAAAAAGAAAAGAAAAAACAAGUAAGAAGACACUGCGCUCGCUCGGUUACAAGAAGAAGAAAAAAAUGCGACGGUCGGAGUCGGAGGCGGCUGGGGAAGGCGAGCGAGGAACCCUAACCCUGACCGAGCACUCCAGAAGAAGAAGAUGAAGGCGCGGGCGCGGGUCCGAGGAGAGGGACAUCGGCGGCGAUGGCAUCGGCGAUUCGGCACACGGCGAGGUGGCUGGGCGGCGUCGCGCUCCGGCAGACGCGGGCGGGGUUGCCAGCCUAUUCCCUCCGGCCUCCUCCCACCGCUGCUGAGAUUGGGAGGCAUCACGCGCUCAAGGAAAUCAAACAGAAGAAGGAAGAGCUGUUCAGUCUGAUUGCCGACACGGAACGGUGAUACAACACUCGCCUCACCAAGGAAGGUUUUCAGAACAUACGUAUGCUGCAGCAGCUAGCCGUGCAGAUCGAUCCUAGGCCUGCCGACCCCUUGUGGCGCUCGAAGCGGUUUACGAAGCGACUCAAUGAUUUUGUUGGCUUUACCGGGGCCAUCGUGUCAGGCUACUUGCUUACGGAUAAAUGGCUCAACUCGGGCAAGGAUGCGGACCCAAGAGGGGAGGAGGGCAUGGCUCUGGUGCUAGCCAGCAAUGAGUGAAUUGCUUCAUUCACUGGGACAAGGAGGCAGAAGAAGUGUAUAAGUAGUAGUAGUAGUAGUGUUCUGGAGGAGGAAGUUAUUAGUGUGCUCUUUCUGGGUAUCCUUUAGCUUAUGUUAUGUAUGAACAACUGUGAGAUCUGUUGUGACAUUUGUACAAGUUGAUGACAUGGUGCCAGCAAACUGUUCAAAACCUGCCUUUUCAUCUUGACUAUAAG
Molecule: long non-coding RNA, 870 nt
Organism: Triticum aestivum (bread wheat)
Lineage: Eukaryota; Viridiplantae; Streptophyta; Magnoliopsida; Poales; Poaceae
Exons: 4
Source: RefSeq, a predicted model, not a curated record